AGAGUUUGAUCUGGCUCAGAACGAACGCUGGCGGCAGGCCUAACACAUGCAAGUCGAACGAUACAGUGGCAGACGGGUGAGUAACGCGUGGGAACGUACCUUUCACUACGGAAUAGCUCUGGGAAACUGGUGGUAAUACCGUAUACGCCCUCCGGGGGAAAGAUUUAUCGGUGAAAGAUCGGCCCGCGUUGGAUUAGCUAGUUGGUGAGGUAAUGGCUCACCAAGGCGACGAUCCAUAGCUGGUCUGAGAGGAUGAUCAGCCACAUUGGGACUGAGACACGGCCCAAACUCCUACGGGAGGCAGCAGUGGGGAAUCUUGCACAAUGGGCGAAAGCCUGAUGCAGCCAUGCCGCGUGAAUGAUGAAGGCCUUAGGGUUGUAAAAUUCUUUCGUCAGGGAUGAUAAUGACCGUACCUGAAGAAGAAGCCCCGGCUAACUUCGUGCCAGCAGCCGCGGUAAUACGAAGGGGGCUAGCGUUGUUCGGAAUUACUGGGCGUAAAGCGCACGUAGGCGGAUUUUUAAGUCAGGUGUGAAAUCCCGGGGCUCAACCUCGGAACUGCAUUUGAAACUGGAAGCCUUGAGACCAGGAGAGGUUAGCGGAAUACCGAGUGUAGAGGUGAAAUUCGUAGAUAUUCGGUGGAACACCAGUGGCGAAGGCGGCUAACUGGACUGGUACUGACGCUGAGGUGCGAAAGUGUGGGGAGCAAACAGGAUUAGAUACCCUGGUAGUCCACACCGUGAACGAUGAGAGCUAGUUGUUGGCAGGCAUGCCUGUCGGUGACGCAGCUAACGCAUUAAGCUCUCCGCCUGGGGAGUACGGCCGCAAGGUUAAAACUCAAAGAAAUUGACGGGGGCCCGCACAAGCGGUGGAGCAUGUGGUUUAAUUCGAAGCAACGCGCAGAACCUUACCUACCCUUGACAUCCCGGUUUCGGUAUCCAGAGAUGGUGUCCAUCAGUUCGGCUGGUCCGGUGACAGGUGCUGCAUGGCUGUCGUCAGCUCGUGUCGUGAGAUGUUGGGUUAAGUCCCGCAACGAGCGCAACCCUCAUCCUUAGUUGCCAUCACGUUUGGGUGGGCACUCUAAGGAAACUGCCGGUGGUAAGCCGGAGGAAGGUGGGGAUGACGUCAAGUCCUCAUGGCCCUUACGGGUAGGGCUACACACGUGCUACAAUGGCAGUGACAAUGGGAUAAUCCCAAAAAGCUGUCUCAGUUCAGAUUGUCCUCUGCAACUCGAGGGCAUGAAGGUGGAAUCGCUAGUAAUCGUGGAUCAGCAUGCCACGGUGAAUACGUUCCCGGGCCUUGUACACACCGCCCGUCACAUCAUGGGAAUUGGUUCUACCCGAAGAUCGUGCGCUAACUUCGGAGGCAGCGAGCCACGGUAGGAUCAGUGACUGGGAUGAAGUCGUAACAAGGUAGCCGUAGGGGAACCUGCGGCUGGAUCACCUCCUUA
RNAcentral lists this ribosomal RNA (1447 nucleotides) under uncultured bacterium. RNAcentral describes it as "bacterial SSU rRNA". It matches the Rfam family "Bacterial small subunit ribosomal RNA". The record is from RNAcentral.